AUCCAGCUGAAGAGUCCCGAAUAGGACGAAAUUCGCGUCCUCCAU
This 45-nucleotide non-coding RNA is filed under the name Schistosoma mattheei. The record is from RNAcentral. Lineage: Eukaryota; Metazoa; Platyhelminthes; Trematoda; Strigeidida; Schistosomatidae.